CAGUAGCCACGGGAAUACGAAGGGUGCUAGCGUUGUUCGGAUUUACUGGGCGUAAAGCGCACGUAGGCGGACUUUUAAGUCAGGGGUGAAAUCCCGGGGCUCAACCCCGGAACUGCCUUUGAUACUGGAAGUCUUGAGUAUGGUAGAGGUGAGUGGAAUUCCGAGUGUAGAGGUGAAAUUCGUAGAUAUUCGGAGGAACACCAGUGGCGAAGGCGGCUCACUGGACCAUUACUGACGCUGAGGUGCGAAAGCGUGGGGAGCAAACAGGAUUAGAUACCCCCGUAGUCCCUGUCUCUUAUAA
Molecule: ribosomal RNA, 301 nt
Filed under: uncultured bacterium
Lineage: Bacteria
Description: partial 16S ribosomal RNA
Rfam family: Bacterial small subunit ribosomal RNA
Source: RNAcentral